Molecule: ribosomal RNA, 1195 nt
Filed under: uncultured organism
Description: bacterial SSU rRNA
Rfam family: Bacterial small subunit ribosomal RNA
Source: RNAcentral
GAGUAAAGAUUUCGGUCGCUUUGGGAGGAGCUCGCUUACUAUCAGCUUGUUGGUAGGGUAAUGGCCUACCAAGGCUAUGACGGUUAGGGGGUGUGAGAGCAUGACCCCCAGCAUUGGCACUGAAACACUGGCCAAACACCUACGGGUGGCUGCAGUCGAGAAUCUUCCACAAUGGGGGAAACCCUGAUGGAGCGAUGCUGCGUGCGGGAUGAAGGCCUUCGGGUUGUAAACCGCUUUUGUAGGGGACGAAAUUUUUGACGGUACCCUUUCGAAUAAGAGGUUGCUAACUCUGUGCCAGCAGCAGCGGUAAUACAGAGACCUCAAGCGUUAUCCGGAUUUACUGGGCGUAAAGCGUCUGUAGGGGGUUUAUUAAGUUCCAAGUAAAAUUUCAAGGCUCAACUUUGAAUUCGCUUGGAAAACUAAUAAACUGGAGUCUAGCAGAGGUGCAUGGAACUUGUGGUGUAGGAGUGAAAUCCGUUGAUAUCACAAGGAACACCAAAGGCGAAGGCAUUGCACUGGGCUAGCACUGACCCUGAGAGACGAAAGCGUGGGGAGCAAAACGGAUUAGAUACCCGUGUAGUCCACGCCCUAAACGAUGAAUGCUAAAUGUUCGGGGAUUCGACCCCCUGGGUGUUACAGCUAACGCGUUAAGCAUUCCGCCUGGGAAGUACGGCCGCAAGGCUAAAACUCAAAGGAAUAGACGGGGAUCCGCACAAGCGGUGGAGCGUCUGGUUUAAUUCGACAGUAAGCGUGGUACCUCACCAGGGUUUGACAUCCCUUGACAGCCUUGGAAACAAGGUUUCCUUCGGGCAAGGUGACAGGUGCUGCAUGGUCGUCGUCAGUUCGUGCCGUGAGGUGUUCCGUUAAGUCGGGAAACGAACGAAACCCCUAUUGCAUGUUACAAUUUCUCAUGCAAGACUGCCCGGAUAUACUGGGAGGAAGGUGGGGAUGACGUCAGAUCUGCAUGGUCCUUAUACCCUGGGCGACACAGGCGCUACAAUGGCAGAGACAAAGGGUUGCAAAACCGCAAGGUGAAGCUAAUCCCAAAAACUUUGUCUAAGUUCGGAUUGAAGGCUGCAAUUCGCCUUCAUGAAGCUGGAAUCGCUAGUAAUCGUGAAUCAGCCACGUCACGGUGAAUAUGUUCCCGGAUCUUGUACUCACCGCCCGUCACACCAAGAGAGUUGGUAGCUCCCGA